RNAcentral lists this transfer RNA (72 nucleotides) under Camelus bactrianus (Bactrian camel). It matches the Rfam family "tRNA". From Rfam's summary of the family: Transfer RNA (tRNA) molecules are approximately 80 nucleotides in length. Their secondary structure includes four short double-helical elements and three loops (D, anti-codon, and T loops). RNAcentral also lists the same sequence under 1 other name. The record is from Rfam by way of RNAcentral. Lineage: Eukaryota; Metazoa; Chordata; Mammalia; Artiodactyla; Camelidae.
GAGGCUCUAGCUCAGUGGUAAAGCACAUGCUUCGCAUGCACAAGGUCCUAGGUUCAAUCCCCAGGACCUCCA